UGAAUUUAGUCGUAUUAAGGCAGAUGGAAAUGACCAAUCAAAUUUCUUGUUGACACUUUUUGGGAAGUGGUCUGAAACAUGUUAUAGAAUACUCAAUCAAGGACAACUAGAGCUGAAGGCAGGUGGGAAAAGAAUAUAUGACUUGGUCAGAAAGUAUGCAUAUGAUUUCUCAAAUAUGAACGUGGAAGAUGCCUUCAGGCUUGUCUCGAUGAAGGUGAUGCUGAUAUUAUUGUCCAGCAAACGUCAGUUACCAGGAAUAGAUGCUGUUAUCAAGUAUAGUUCGGAAAAUGAUGAUCCAGAGUCCACAGUAGAAAAGAUUCCACAACUUACUCAAUACUUGGUUGUAUGUAGCGAUCCAGCCUAGCCGAGGCAGAUAUUUUUGGCAUCGGAGCCUAUCAUUAUGUUUUGAAAUUUUGUGCAGCAACAGUAUGUGCUGUCCAUCGCUAUUAAUUGCGGUAAUUUAUGUGUUCAACACAAAAUCUCAACAAUCAUUAGUAACAUUUUACUGCUGCCUGGAGGUCAUGUUACUUGGAUGUACCUCAGGAAAUGUUACUCUAGCAAUAUCUUAUUUUUAACAGGAUUGCAAUGAGCUAGUAACUUUGUUUGACGAAUUGUGUUUUGCUUUCUUGUUUAGUGCGUUGCUAAGUA
Molecule: long non-coding RNA, 648 nt
Organism: Corticium candelabrum
Lineage: Eukaryota; Metazoa; Porifera; Homoscleromorpha; Homosclerophorida; Plakinidae
Exons: 3
Source: RefSeq, a predicted model, not a curated record